RNAcentral lists this small nuclear RNA (24 nucleotides) under Arabidopsis thaliana (thale cress). RNAcentral describes it as "snRNA_02611". Lineage: Eukaryota; Viridiplantae; Streptophyta; Magnoliopsida; Brassicales; Brassicaceae. The record is from RNAcentral.
UUUCUAAUUUCCUUAUAACUCCUA